CUGCGAGUGAAGAGGGAAGAGCUCAUCAUUGGAAUCUGGCAGUGUUGCACUGUCCGAGUUGUAGAUGAGGAGUAGUCCGUCUGGACUGCAUGGCGUCCAAGUACAAUAGGCCGUCAGUGGGACAUCAUAGAGGGUGACAAUCCCGUCCUUGACGCCAAUGUGCAAGUCUAUUACGAUGGCUAUCUCAGAGAGUCGAGCAGUUUGGGAUUUGCUGCUUAAACAUGGGAGGUAGAUUCCUUCUAAAGCUAAAUACAGGCGAGAGACCGAUAGAGAACAAGUACCGCAAGGGAAAGAUGAAAUAGCACUCUGUGAAGGGAGUCAAAAGGCGUGAAAUUGUUGCGAGAGAAGCGAUUCAAGUCAGCGUAGCUAGGCCCAUCAAGCGUCUUCGCUUUGGACUAGCUUUGCCAGCGGUCUUGUCCCUUGAAGAGACUUGACUUGUAAUAUGUCCAGCCUGGCGUGCACAGGCAGCCCCUUCUGGGGGCCAGUGGCAUGGCUGGUGGAAUGGCUUGCAAUCGACCCGUCUUGAAACACGGACCAAGGAGUCUAACAUGUAUGCGAGUAUAAGGGUGGCAAACCCGUAUGCGCAAUGAAAGUGAUUUUCGGUGAUUGAGAAUGGCCUGAUGACCAGACAAGCAAUAUAUGUCCCUCGUACGGCCAUUGCCCAAGUUCCGUGGUAGAUCCCACGAACAUGGAGUUGGAGCAUACAUGCUAGGACCCGAAAGAUGGUGAACUAUGCCUGGACAAAGCGAAGCCAAAGGAAACUCUGGUGGAGGCUUGUAGCGAUUCUGACGUGCAAAUCGAUCGUCUGAUCUGGGUAUAGGGGCGAAAGACU
This 832-nucleotide ribosomal RNA is filed under the name Craterellus yunnanensis. Its description in RNAcentral is "LSU rRNA". It matches the Rfam family "Eukaryotic large subunit ribosomal RNA", at positions 87 to 932 of the family's 3401-position model. Lineage: Eukaryota; Fungi; Basidiomycota; Agaricomycetes; Cantharellales; Hydnaceae. The record is from RNAcentral.